RNAcentral lists this ribosomal RNA (403 nucleotides) under uncultured bacterium. RNAcentral describes it as "bacterial SSU rRNA". It matches the Rfam family "Bacterial small subunit ribosomal RNA", at positions 355 to 775 of the family's 1533-position model. The record is from RNAcentral.
UAGGGAAUAUUAGUAAUGGGCGCAAGCCUGAACUAGCAACGCCGCGUGUGCGAAAAAGGCCUUCGGGUUGUAAAGCACUUUUUGAGAGGAUGAGGAAGGACGGUACUCUCAGAAUAAGUCUCGGCUAACUACGUGCCAGCAGCCGCGGUAACACGUAGGAGGCGAACGUUAUCCGGAUUUACUGGGCGUAAAGCGCGUGUAGGUGGUUUGGUAAGUAGGGCGUGAAAGCUCCUGGCUCAACCGGGAGAGGCCGUUCUAAACUGCCGAACUAGAGGAUGGUAGAGGGAGGUGGAAUUCCGGGUGUAGCGGUGGAAUGCGCAGAUAUCCGGAGGAACACCAGUGGCGAAAGCGGCCUCCUGGACCAUUCCUGACACUCAGACGCGAAAGCUAGGGUAGCAAACGG